Molecule: long non-coding RNA, 2152 nt
Filed under: Salmo salar (Atlantic salmon)
Lineage: Eukaryota; Metazoa; Chordata; Actinopteri; Salmoniformes; Salmonidae
Description: lncRNA (ENSSSAG00000087261.1)
Source: RNAcentral
GGAAAACACAAUGUGGAAUAGGGAAGGAACGACUAAGAGCACAUCCAUAGGAAAACACAAUGUGGAAUAGGGAAGGAACGACUAACAGCACAUCCAUAGGAAAACACAAUGUGGAAUAGGGAAGGAACGACUAACAGCACAUCCAUAGGAAAACACAAUGUGGAAUAGGGAAGGAACGACUAACAGCACAUCCAUAGGAAAACACAAUGUGGAAUAGGGAAGGAACGACUAACAGCACAUCCAUAGGAAAACACAAUGUGGAAUAGGGAAGGAACGACUAACAGCACAUCCAUAGGAAUACACAAUGUGGAAUAGGGAAGGAACGACUUGUGGUCAGGCUUGUGCCGGAUAGGAAGAUGAGGACCCCAAAUAUACAUCUGAAGAGUAAGAGAGGAGAGUAAACUGAUACAAUGAAAAGAGAGGGAUGAGAGAGGAGAGGUCAUAAUGAGGGAAAUUAUAGUGUGUCUGUGUUGGUGGUGUUUGUGUUGGAGGUGUCUGUGUUGGAGGUGCCUGUGUUGGAGGUGUGUGUCUGUGUUAGAGGUGUCUGUGUUGGAGGUGUCUGUGUUGGAGGUGUCUGUGUUGGAGGUGUGUGUCUGUGUUGGAGGUGUGUGUCUGUGUUGGAGGUAUCAGUGUUGGAGGUGUCUGUGUUGGAGGUGUCUGUGUUGGAGGUGUCUGUGUUGGAGGUGUCUGUGUGAUGUGUGUCUGUGUUGGAGGUGUCUGUGUGGGGUGUGUCUGUGUUGGAGGUAUCUGUGUUGGAGGUGUCUGUGUUGGAGGUAUCUGUGUUGGAGGUGUCUGUGUUGGAGGUAUCUGUGUUGGAGGUAUCUGUGUUGGAGGUGUCUGUGUUGGAGGUAUCUGUGUUGGAGGUAUCUGUGUUGGAGGUGUCUGUGUUGGAGGUAUCUGUGUUGGAGGUGUGUGUCUGUGUUGGAGGUGUGUGUCUGUGUUGGAGGUAUAUGUGUUGGAGGUGUCUGUGUUGGAGGUGUCUGUGUUGGAGGUGUCUGUGUGAUGUGUGUCUGUGUUGGAGGUGUCUGUGUGGGGUGUGUCUGUGUUGGAGGUAUCUGUGUUGGAGGUGUGUGUCUGUGUUGGAGGUAUCUGUGUUGGAGGUGUCUGUGUGGGGUGUGUCUGUGUUGGAGGUAUCUGUGUUGGAGGUGUCUGUGUGAUGUGUGUCUGUGUUCGAGGUAUCUGUGUGGGGUGUGUCUGUGUUGGAGGUAUCUGUGUUGGAGGUGUCUGUGUUGGAGGUAUCUGUGUUGGAGGUGUCUGUGUUGGAGGUGUCUGUGUUGGAGGUAUCUGUGUUGGAGGUGUCUGUGUUGGAGGUAUCUGUGUUGGAGGUGUGUGUCUGUGUUGGAGGUGUGUGUCUGUGUUGGAGGUAUCUGUGUUGGAGGUGUCUGUGUUGGAGGUGUCUGUGUUGGAGGUGUCUGUGUGAUGUGUGUCUGUGUUGGAGGUGUCUGUGUUGGAGGUGUCUGUGUUGGAGGUAUCUGUGUUGGAGGUAUCUGUGUUGGAGGUGUCUGUGUUGGAGGUAUCUGUGUUGGAGGUAUCUGUGUUGGAGGUGUGUGUCUGUGUUGGAGGUAUCUGUGUUGGAGGUGUCUGUGUUGGAGGUGUCUGUAUUGGAGGUGUCUGUGUGAUGUGUGUCUGUGUUGGAGGUGUCUGUGUGGGGUGUGUCUGUGUUGGAGGUAUCUGUGUUGGAGGUGUCUGUGUUGGAGGUGUCUGUGUUGGAGGUGUCUGUGUUGGAGGUGUCUGUGUGGGGUGUGUCUGUGUUGGAGGUGUCUGUGUUGGAGGUGUCUGUGUUGGUGGUGUCUGUGUCGGAGGUGUCUGUGUUGGAGGUGUCUGUGUUGGAGGUGUCUGUGUUGGUGGUAUCUGUGUUGGUGGUGUCUGUGUCGGAGGUGUCUGUGUUGGAGGUGUCUGUGUUGGAGGUGUCUGUGUUGGAGGUGUCUGUGUUGGAGCUGUCUGUGUUGGAGGUAUCUGUGUUGGAGCUGUCUGUGUGGGGUGCAGGGCAUAGCAGAACAGAGAGACACCAGAGAGAGACAGAGGGUAACCUGUAUACUGUUGUCUCUCAGCAGGUAUAAUUGAUGUUAGCAUGGCUAGGCCAACAUUACCACUGUCCUGAACCAUGGAUCUGUCUGUGUGAGGCUGUGGUUACUUCAACAGGUAAUUACAA